CACUGUUCACCAUGAUAAAUAACUCAUCUUACAAAAAUGUUUUUGUCACGUAAGGUCAUAAAUUCUCUUUUAAGCAAAGAUUUGCACUGGGUAUUACCAGAAUUUAAUCUUUCAUUGGCUUGACACAAUGACUCUUUCAAGUCAUGGUGAUUGUGAUAAUGAUUGUAAAGUCCGUUCAGAGCAACGGUCUUUGUACUAUAUGUGUCUUUUUCUGUGUGACUUUUAUCUUUCAUUAUUAUAUAAAUGUGAUGUAUGUUAUGUUCACAAAGUGAAUACUUCAAAAUGAGGAGGACAUGCUACAACAAAACAGACUGGGUGAAUGUGAGACUUCGAGGAGGAGUACUGACACAUCCAUUUCAACGGGAUGGUUCUAGCUGCGGAGUAAUGGUCAUCAUGAUGGCCAAAGAAGUAAUGGAAGCCAUCCAUCCAUCCAUCCAUCCGCUUCCGCUUAUCCUUUUUCAGGGUCGCGGGGGGCACUGGAGCCUAUCCCAGCUGUCAUGGGGCGAGAGGCGGGGUACACCCCGGACAGGUCGCCAGUCUGUCGCAGGGCUAACACACAGAGAUUUUUGACGACAAAAAAAGAGAUGGCCCAGGCACGAAGGACAUUUGCAC
Molecule: long non-coding RNA, 612 nt
Organism: Astatotilapia calliptera (eastern happy)
Lineage: Eukaryota; Metazoa; Chordata; Actinopteri; Cichliformes; Cichlidae
Source: Ensembl